Molecule: ribosomal RNA, 478 nt
Filed under: Dialister invisus
Lineage: Bacteria; Bacillati; Bacillota; Negativicutes; Veillonellales; Veillonellaceae
Description: bacterial SSU rRNA
Rfam family: Bacterial small subunit ribosomal RNA
Source: RNAcentral
GACGAACGCUGGCGGCGUGCUUAACACAUGCAAGUCGAACGAAAAGAGGGAAAGAGCUUGCUCUUUCCGGAAUUGAGUGGCAAACGGGUGAGUAACACGUAAACAACCUGCCUUCAGGAUGGGGACAACAGACGGAAACGACUGCUAAUACCGAAUAAGUUCCAAGAGCCGCAUGGCCCAUGGAAGAAAAGGUGGCCUCUACCUGUAAGCUAUCGCCUGAAGAGGGGUUUGCGUCUGAUUAGCUGGUUGGAGGGGUAACGGCCCACCAAGGCGACGAUCAGUAGCCGGUCUGAGAGGAUGAACGGCCACACUGGAACUGAGACACGGUCCAGACUCCUACGGGAGGCAGCAGUGGGGAAUCUUCCGCAAUGGGCGGAAGCCUGACGGAGCAACGCCGCGUGAGUGAUGACGGCCUUCGGGUUGUAAAACUCUGUGAUCCGGAACGAAAGGGCAGAGUGCGAAGAACAAACUGCAUUGA